GGGAUUGCCUCAGUAACGGCGAGUGAAGCGGCAACAGCUCAAAUUUGAAAUCUGGCUCCUUCGGGGUCCGAAUUGUAAUUUGUAGAGAGUGCUUCGGGCGAGACCUCGGUCUAAGUCCAUUGGAACAUGGUGUCAUAGAGGGUGAGAAUCCCGUAUGCGACCGUGGCUCGAGCCCAUGUGAAGCCUCUUCGACGAGUCGAGUUGUUUGGGAAUGCAGCUCAAAAUGGGUGGUAAAUUUCAUCUAAAGCUAAAUACUGGCUGGAGACCGAUAGCGCACAAGUAGAGUGAUCGAAAGAUGAAAAGCACUUUGGAAAGAGAGUCAAACAGUACGUGAAAUUGUUGAAAGGGAAGCGCUUGCAACCAGACCUGCCCGUAGGCGAUCMGCCGCUGUURUCAGCGGUGUACUCGCUCUGCGAUCAGGCCAGCAUCGGUUUCGGCGGUCGGAUAAAGGCCUUGGGAAUGUAGCUUCCCUUCGGGGGAGUCUUAUAGCCCUCGGUGYAAUGCGGCCAGCCGGGACCGAGGACCGCGCUUCGGCUAGGAUGCUGGCGUAAUGGUUGUAAGCGACCCGUCUUGAAACACGGACCAAGGAGUCUAACAUCUAUGCGAGUGUUUGGGUGUCAAACCCAURCGCGGAAUGAAAGUGAACGGAGGUGAGAACCCUUAAGGGCGCAUCAUCGACCGAUCCAGAUGUCUUCGGAUGGAUUUGAGUAUGAGCAUAGCUGUUGGGACCCGAAAGAUGGUGAACUAUGCCUGAAUAGGGUGAAGCCAGAGGAAACUCUGGUGGAGGCUCGCAGCGGUUCUGACGUGCAAAUCGAUCGUCAAAUUUGGGUAUAGGGGCGAAAGACUAAUCGAACCA
Molecule: ribosomal RNA, 856 nt
Filed under: Xanthoparmelia angustiphylla
Lineage: Eukaryota; Fungi; Ascomycota; Lecanoromycetes; Lecanorales; Parmeliaceae
Description: eukaryotic LSU rRNA
Rfam family: Eukaryotic large subunit ribosomal RNA
Source: RNAcentral